RNAcentral lists this ribosomal RNA (467 nucleotides) under Ovis aries (sheep). Its description in RNAcentral is "partial 12S ribosomal RNA". Lineage: Eukaryota; Metazoa; Chordata; Mammalia; Artiodactyla; Bovidae. The record is from RNAcentral.
UAUAGGUUUGGUCCCAGCCUUCCUGUUAACUUUCAAUAGACUUAUACAUGCAAGCAUCCACGCCCCGGUGAGUAACGCCCUUCGAAUCACACAGGACUAAAAGGAGCAGGUAUCAAGCACACACUCUUGUAGCUCACAACGCCUUGCUUAACCACACCCCCACGGGAGACAGCAGUAACAAAAAUUAAGCCAUAAACGAAAGUUUGACUAAGCCAUAUUGACCAGGGUUGGUAAAUCUCGUGCCAGCCACCGCGGUCAUACGAUUGACCCAAGCUAACAGGAGUACGGCGUAAAGCGUGUUAAAGCAUCAUACUAAAUAGAGUUAAAUUUUAAUUAAACUGUAAAAAGCCAUAAUUAUAACAAAAAUAAAUGACGAAAGUAACCCUACAAUAGCUGAUACACCAUAGCUAAGACCCAAACUGGGAUUAGAUACCCCACUAUGCUUAGCCCUAAACACAAAUAAUUAU